UGUCCCCUGGCCUUCGUGCCUCAGUGUCAGGAACUGUCCAGAGACCCGCCUUCGCCACUGGUCUUCCUCACGAUCUCUACGCAUUUCACUGCUACACCGUGAAUUCCAGUCUCCUCUCCAGUCCUCAAGCACGCCAGUAUCAAAUGCAGUUUCGGAGUUAAGCUCCGAAAUUUCACACCUGACUUAGCGCGCCACCUACGCACCCUUUACGCCCAAUG
Molecule: ribosomal RNA, 218 nt
Filed under: uncultured soil bacterium
Lineage: Bacteria
Description: partial 16S ribosomal RNA
Source: RNAcentral